UUUUUCCUGCAAUUUUUUAGUUCAAUAUUUUCCUCACUUCCUUCAUUCUAACUUUUGCAUGUUAACUUCUUGGUGUUAUUUUAGAUAUGCAUGCUCCCUAUCUAACUUAUUUGGUAAAAAUGAAUACUUUCUCUGCUUAUUAUCUAUUUUUUUAUUUUUGUACUAACCAUUUAACGAUUUGUGCUAUUGCAGCAGAAAAACAUUGGUAAAAUGG
This 214-nucleotide long non-coding RNA is filed under the name Lupinus angustifolius (narrow-leaved blue lupine). Its description in RNAcentral is "long non-coding RNA (LANG_LNC003434)". Lineage: Eukaryota; Viridiplantae; Streptophyta; Magnoliopsida; Fabales; Fabaceae. The record is from RNAcentral.